UGGAAAAAAAGGAGAACAAAUGACACAAAUAUUGCGAUUACAAUUCAGUGAAAACAAAUAUUAACGCUAGACACAAUGAGACUGAAGAGAAUGUGGUGCUUCAGAUGCAGCAGCUACAGCAGUUUGUGAAGGAUCAUUUUCUUCUGAAUCCAUAGUGAUGCUUUACUGACUGCGGUGAAGUAGAUCUGAAGAGAGAUCCUUAUGAGCAUCGUCAGUGUCUUAGCUCACUCGUUCUCUUUUGUGAACAUUUGACUUCAGCAGCAGGAGAAAAGCAUGAAUCUGUUCAGAGCUUGUUGUGUUUCUGCUGCUUUAACGUGACGUCUCUGAGACAAAUCAACUAACUGAUCAUGACAUCUGAUGACAUCUAUUUUCAUUGCUGAUAUUUCAUUGUUGAAGUGCUACUGAAAACCUCUCAAAUUUGAGGAAUUUGACAGGUAUAGACGAUAAAAUUAAAGAACGGACAAAAACCCUCAUUAAUGUCCGGAAAAGAGCAUAUAACUUCAUUAGAAAUGUGGCUUUCUAUAGAACAGGAGAUCCCUAAUGCUGACAAAGUUCUGUUGCUGAGGCAUGUAGGCGUAAUUUAGUUACCCUGCUGAAUAAUGCGACUAGAGAAAAAUAGAAGAAAAACUAGUUGAGUAUGAUCCUGGUACAAAACAUGUUAAAACCAUGAGGAAAUUUACACCGCAAAAUAAACAAGCUCAAGGGCUACAGUUUAAAAAUAAUUUUAAUACCAAUAAAUUCCAAAGGCCAGAAAGAUUUAAAAAUAAAUAAUAAUAAUAAAAUACAUAAAUAUGUAGCAGGAUAUUAUGGUGAAACAAGGAAGGUUAACCAGUUCACUGGAAAUAGACAGACGUCUCAGACAGAAAAAAAAAGGAAACCUGUAUGCACAGGGAGGGAGAAAACUUCCACAGAAGUGAAAAAUGGUAAUAUGACCCCCGCAGAACGAACUAAAAUAAUUGAAGACCUUAAGAACAAAAAUCAAAACGGAAAAAAGAUUAGGAGGACUAAGAUAAAUCAAAAGAUGGAAAAACGCUCUAAAUUGAACGACGAGGAAACAUGCAAAACUAAGAAGAAGGAGCGAGUCAACUCUGAUACAGAAUGAAGCUAAGCUGGCCAGUUGAAACAGAGACUGUGUGACCCAAAAGUUAAAGAAGAAAAUGAAAAUGUAUAUAUUAAUAUUCAUGGAACAGAGUAUUUGAUUGACACAUGCAUGAAUGUCUGUCUCAACUGAGUCUUUAGAGAUAAAUAGUACGAUACAGGUACAAACAAAUGACGGACAAGUUAAAACGGGAAAAACAGGCGAACGAUAUGGAAUUACUAUUGAAAGUUCUGAAAAUUUAUUAGCAGCAAAAGAUCUGAAAAAGGUUUUAAGAUUAAAACCCGCUAAUUAGGAGAAAGAAUUAAGAAGAAUCAGAAAUGAAAUUAAAGGUUAACAAUGGGCUAAGGACCAGUUAAUGUCAGAGCUACUUCAUAUGUACGGAGCAAAAAUAACUGCGGCAAAGUAGAUGAUAGGUUUGCACAUGUUAUCGAGGGUGGAAUUCAUAAACCACAAAGGCAAUACCCAAUUAAUAAAAACGGAAUGGCAGAACUAACUUUUACCAUAAAAGAGCUUGAAGAACAGGGAGUUAUAAAACAAGUUAAAGGAGCGAUUACUAACUCGCCGAUCCAGUUAGCGGGGAAACCGGACGGGACAUAUAGAAUUCUUACAAACUUUAAGACUUUGAGUCGUUUAACAAGACCGGAUAAACGUUAUGUAAUUAACGCAUGAGAUACAGUUGAACAAAAUACGAGAUGGACAGUUUUAUUCGAAAAUUUAUUUUGCCAGUGGAUACUCGAUUCCUCUAGCUGAAGAAAGUCAGGAAAAGACUGCUUUUACUGUAAACAACAAACAUUAUGUUUACCGACGUUUGUUGAUGGGUUAUUAAAACUCACCUAUAACUUUUCAAUUGGUAGGCUAAGGUGUGAAAUGCUGAAAGAUUUAGACGUUGAACUUUAUAUAGACAACAUAUUAAUUGUGUCAAAUGGAGACCUUGUAACAGAAUUGUUGAAACGACUUGCGGAGGCAGGUUUGAAAAUAAAUAUAAAAAAGAGACAAUUAAUGACUGAUAUAGUCGAAUUUUGGGGAUUUUGGAUUUCAGCAGGUAACAGAGGGGUUACUUAGUCAAUGACAGUCAGAGUAAAUCAACUUGAGACCCCAAAAACAGUUAGACAGAGCCAGCAAACAAUGGGGUUACUGGGUUAUGUUAGAUACUUAAUCCCUCGCUUUAGCCAGAUGUCUAAACUUAUUUAUGAGACUAUCAAAGGUGGACAACUGAAAUGAAAAAAAAAAAAAAAAAACCUAAGAAUCGUUGAUAGAAAUUAAAACAGCUAUAUUAAACUCAGGACAGCUGGAAGGAAGAAAUGAUGAGAAAAAUUUAGAAGCUGACUUGGAAACAGACGAAACUAAGAAGAUAAGAGAUAAGAAAAGUAACAUACCUGUUAGAAUUAUGACUGGAAGCUGGGAGAUCCAAGAACUUAAAUUUACUGGUGUGAAGAAGCAGCUGGCAACACUUAGCAAAUGAUAUUCCGAGCUGAAAGGCCUGGCAAGGGGCCAGAAAAUAUUUGUUAACACGAAAACAGCAGUAUUAGCUCAUCUCUCCAAAAACAAUGUAAAGGAUGCACGUGCGCUUAAUAGCCAAUGGCAGUGAUGGAAAAGUAUGCUUCCAGAUCCAGAACUGAAAAUCAGACAAACAGUACUUAAAAAAUGCCAGAAAAAGAUAUUAGAGCUUUAUAAAAAUACAGUUGUUUUCACAGAUGGUUCAAAAACGGCCACAGACGAUGAAGCUCAAUGGGCUUUCAUUCUGAAACAGAGCAACAAGGUCAUAGCUUCAAAAGAGGGAGUAGUGCAAGGCACAGGACAGUACACAGAGCUCAUGGCAGUGUUCCAGGCUUUGAAAACACUGAAAAACUUGGAUAUUUACAGGCCAUAAUAGUGACGGAUUGCAGUUGCAAAAGGAAUUAAUGACAAUUUGCAAAUCUGGAAUGAGAACGGUUACACCAAGUCAAAAGGAAUGAUGAAAUUACAAGACGGAGACGAGAGAGAGAAAUGGGCCAGGAAAAUAAAACGCUGGUGAAAACCCUGUAUACCAUGACCUUGUCUGACGGUAUUAUUAGUAACAGGGGUUGUGAUUUUAACAGGAAUUUGGCCAAUAAUUGAUUUCACUACAAAAUUGAUUGUGGUUGAUGAGAUUACUGUUAAAGAAGUUUCCCACUGUACUAUAGUGACUAAAUUCUUUUCAGGGUCAUGUGAGCUAAAAACAUUGGAAGGAUGUAGCCAAUGUGAGGAAAUAAUUAAAAAAUAUACAGUGGGGUAAGAUACAUUAGUGAAAUGUAGAAUAAGGUCAAGCCCAUGUAACAUUACACAAAUAAAGAAAAUUUGGAUUUGGCACUGCCUGCAGCAAAUACUCUAUAUUGGACCUAGGGAGAUACUAGGGUGGUACAUGGGCAACAUAGAAGACAUAAUUAUGCUAAAUAAAGAAACCCAGAUUAUCGAAACUCCGCUCAUUUCCGAUAGAUAGAGGUACCCAAUGUGUAAAAUAUGGAUUUUAUGAUAAUAAACGUGCAUUCCAAAGAAACUGUGAAAAAUAUUAUAAUGACAAUAAAUAUACAAUGUAUGAAACUACAAAAAAAUUAUGGGAUCCAUUUGCAUGGAUAAAUUGGUUUAUAUAUUGACAUAGGUUAAUAUUAAUAUAUUAUUAUAUAUUAAUAUUGGUUAGGUGAAACUACUGAAUGAAUUAGUGUAUAUUCCAAAGGAUUGAGAACUUGUGGGAAAAUGUGCUUACUGAAAAUGUAACUGAAAGGGAUCAAAUGAUAAUACAGUUAAUUUGUAUUAUUUAUUUUUAGUUAUUUGGUGAUACAGGAACUAAUAUUUUGGAGAGCAUUACUGUGAAAAGCAUUAAAGCUCAAAAAAAAAAAAAAAAAAAAAAAAAACAGAGACUAUCAUGAUGUAAUGAGUAUAAAAGAUAAAAAUUAAAAUAUUAAAUAUAAAAAUACCUGGCUAAGCGCUUACUAUCCUUUUCCUGUAGUUUGGAUGAGAUUUCAGGUAAAGGAUAGCAGAAUACUUUGGGCUAUUUCUAAGGAAAUCCCAGAAUACCAUAAUGUUAUGACUAUAUCAAAACCUAAUUAUAAAAUGUCAGUUAAUAUCAGUGGCAGUCUAGAUGACAAAAAGGUUUUGACCAUUGACAGAAGCUUAUUGGACUGUUUAUUACUUUACAGGAAGACAAGGCUUAUUUAAAUAUGCCUUUAGAUAGUUAUUUUAGAAGAUUGGGUAUUAAUUAAGGAAUUAAUGGGAUGUUGGCUUAAGAAGUCUAUUCGUAUAAGCCCAUAUAUAUGGAUAAUAGAGAGAAUUAUGCUGAAGAAGAUAAAGGGAAAUGUAUGACCCCGUACCCAUUGUAUUGGACAGUAGCUAGACUACAAUAUACUAAAUUACAUGCAGGAUACAGACAAUGGAUAUUUGAUACUGUAUGUUAUUUUACUAGUAGGAGCUUUCAUGGGGAUUUUGAUUUUGUGAGAACUAAAGGGCCUUGGAGGACUGAUAAGAAGUUUAUUAAAAAUCUGUUAUUCUACAGUCGUUAAUAUUAUCAUGCAGGUGUUUGGGCUUAGUAGGAGUAGAGAUAAAGAGAACAAACAAGUGCACAUUGAAAGAGGGAUUCAUCGAAAGACCUUGACCGAACGUAGCACUUCUUUGGUGCAUAAGGUCUGAGACUUUACUUCUGAAAUAAAUGGCAUUUCAACAGAGUGCCACGAAGGGUGAACAGUUGAGUGAUAUACCAUGGAUAACUGUAAGAAUGAUUCUACCUGCAUUGCUGUUUUGUCAGGAAACGGUGACAACCUUUUGGAAAUUCUGGCAGAGAAAUUCGUGGAAUUCCUGGAGAAGGAGGAUUUAACUCUGACUCAGCCCGCCUUCACGCCCCAAGGUGCUAAGAAUCAAACAAGCGGCUCGCACACCAGAAGGUAUGCCUGGAAUGCCAGAUCCCCUCUCUUGGCUUUUGAAGAGGAUGUCAGAGACAGGGGAAGAGCCGUGCGUUUCUGAGUGAGGACCCCUGGGGGCGUCAGAUUGAGGCUUGUGUACAUGAAAUUACGAACGGACGAUUGUUGAGAGCAAGAUUUGGACACUAUCUUAGCAUUGUCAAGCAGAGCACAAAGAUUUGGUCACCUGAUACUACUGUAUCUGGAAAUUAGGAAAAAAAAAAGAGUGCAAGGGGAAAGAAAGAAUGCUCGAGUUUGGGUUGAAAACUAUAUGGAUGUGUUUCAAACCAAAUUACUGAUGCAUGAUGGCACUGUGUAUAUGAUUCUUGCAAAAUAUAACAAGUUUAAAAAACAUGUUGAACUGUACUUUAGCUUGAAGAUGUUAGGAUGAAAUCAGCCAGCAAAAUUGCAAAGCAGUGGGUGUUAAUGGAGAUGAUGAUUUUGCAAUUGUAUUGUCUUGAUUAAUGCUUAAUUUGCUAUAAACAGAUGUACGGUAACCUAAGUAGUAAUAAUGCUUUUGCUUAAGUACAAAGAUGUAACCCUGUGAUUAAUACUAUAUGGAAAAUGUAUUGCGUAACUACACUAACAUUAAGAAAACUGCUUACUUGCAUGAAAUGUAUGUAGUUACUGAUUUAGAGUAGAAACACUUAUGUAUUAGAAAUAGUUUUUAUGAUAAAUGGACAAUAUAGUAUUUAAGGUGUAUUUCACCGACUGUUAAGAGGAAAAAGAAGAGGAAAAGGGCUAAAGCAAUGCGACGUAAACAACUGAAAGCCUCGGCAGAGGAGUCGGCAGCACUCCAGGUGAUGACAUCAGAAGAACCAGCGUUCGACGUCUGUGUAUAAAAGACUGCGAGAGAGACUCGACCGACGGAUACUGAACAAGCACAGUAUCCCUCGACGCCUGAUACCAGCUGAUUAUAUCUUGAUUUUGUAACUUUACUAUUGUACUUUGAUAUAACUUUUGUUAAUUUUAAUAAAACUUGUAUU
Carassius auratus (goldfish) is the source of this 5993-nucleotide long non-coding RNA. RefSeq lists it as uncharacterized. The transcript is spliced from 3 exons. The record is from RefSeq and is a predicted model, not a curated record. Lineage: Eukaryota; Metazoa; Chordata; Actinopteri; Cypriniformes; Cyprinidae.